GGUUUCAUAGUGUAGCAAUUAGCACAUCUGCUUUACACGCAGAAGGUCCUGGGUUUGUGCCCCAGUGGAGCCA
RNAcentral lists this transfer RNA (73 nucleotides) under Pteropus alecto (black flying fox). It matches the Rfam family "tRNA". Rfam says of the family: Transfer RNA (tRNA) molecules are approximately 80 nucleotides in length. Their secondary structure includes four short double-helical elements and three loops (D, anti-codon, and T loops). The record is from Rfam by way of RNAcentral. Lineage: Eukaryota; Metazoa; Chordata; Mammalia; Chiroptera; Pteropodidae.